Molecule: ribosomal RNA, 237 nt
Filed under: uncultured bacterium
Lineage: Bacteria
Description: partial 16S ribosomal RNA
Rfam family: Bacterial small subunit ribosomal RNA
Source: RNAcentral
GAUCAUGGCUCAGGAUGAACGCUGGCGGCGUGCUUAACACAUGCAAGUCGAACGAAGCACUUUAUUACGAUUUCUUCGGAAUGAAGUUUUUGUGACUGAGUGGCGGACGGGUGAGUAACGCGUGGGUAACCUGCCUCAUACAGGAGGAUAACAGUUGGAAACGACUGCUAAUACCGCAUAAGCGCACAGGAUUGCAUGAUCCAGUGUGAAAAACUCCGGUGGUAUGAGAUGGACCCG